CCCUUGUCCAGAAUACAAAUUUAGUUUCAAAACUUCGACUGUGGGUCGGCGCUCGCCAGAAGUACGAGAUCCGAUGCCUCGACUGGAGCCCCAUGUUCUGUUGAGGAAUCAAUGGCCCGAUCGCCCACGACACAUCGGACGCUUAUGAGGACCGAUAUAUCCACAAUGAUGGGAGUUACACUCCUACAGUCAAACUUUCAGGCAAAAUGAUCGGCUGACUUGCCGACUCGGCCUCGGCCAAGAAAGGCAAAGUGCCAAUGCGACCAAUGUUGCGUUCGCGACUUACCGACC
RNAcentral lists this long non-coding RNA (291 nucleotides) under Elaeis guineensis (African oil palm). RNAcentral describes it as "long non-coding RNA (EGUI_LNC081041)". Lineage: Eukaryota; Viridiplantae; Streptophyta; Magnoliopsida; Arecales; Arecaceae. The record is from RNAcentral.